GGCGGCGAGCGGCGGACGGGUGAGUAACGCGUAGGAAUCUACCUGGUAGUGGGGGAUAGCCCGGGGAAACUCGGAUUAAUACCGCAUACGACCUACGGGUGAAAGCAGGGGAUCUUCGGACCUUGCGUUAUUAGAGCGGCCGAUAUCUGAUUAGGUAGUUGGUAGGGUAAAGGCCUACCAAGCCGACGAUCAGUAGCUGGUCUGAGAGGACGAUCAGCCACACUGGAACUGAGACACGGUCCAGACUCC
Molecule: ribosomal RNA, 249 nt
Filed under: uncultured bacterium
Lineage: Bacteria
Description: partial 16S ribosomal RNA
Rfam family: Bacterial small subunit ribosomal RNA
Source: RNAcentral